AGUCCCUGGGGCCCAAAUCGUUUACCGUGAAAAAAUUAGAGUGUUCAAAGCAGGCAGAUCCAAUUUUCUGCCACCGAAUACAUUAGCAUGGGACAAUGGAAUAGGACCCUGUCCUCCUAUUUUCAGUUGGUUUUGGCAGCGCGAGGACUAGGGUAAUGAUUAAUAGGGAUAGUUGGGGGCAUUAAUAUUUAAUUGUCAGAGGUGAAAUUCUUGGAUUUAUGAAAGAUUAACUUCUGCGAAAGCAUCUGCCAAGGAUGUUUUCAUUAAUCAAGAACGAAAGUCAGGGGAUCGAAGACGAUCAGAUACCGUCGUAGUCUUAACCAUAAACGAUGCCGACCAGCGAUUAGGAGACGUUGAAUACAAAACACCACCAUCGGCGCGGUCGUCCUUGGCGUGUCUCGGCUUCACGGCCGGGGCGCGCGAGGGCGGUUUAGCCCGGUGGCACCGGUGAAUGACUCCCCUAGCAGCUUGUGAGAAA
RNAcentral lists this ribosomal RNA (478 nucleotides) under Acanthamoeba genotype T4. RNAcentral's name for it is "SSU rRNA". It matches the Rfam family "Eukaryotic small subunit ribosomal RNA", at positions 731 to 1097 of the family's 1831-position model. Lineage: Eukaryota; Discosea; Longamoebia; Acanthamoebidae. The record is from RNAcentral.